GAUGAACGCUGGCUACAGGCUUAACACAUGCAAGUCGUGGGGAAACGGCAUUAUGUGCUUGCACAUUCUGGACGUCGACCGGCGCACGGGUGAGUAUCGCGUAUCCAACCUGCCCCUUACUUGGGGAUACCCCGUUGAAAGACGGCCUAAUACCCGAUGUGUUUCAUUGACGGCAUCCGAUAUGAAACAAAGGUUUUUCCGGUAAGGGAUGGGGAUGCGUCUGAUUAGCUUGUUGGCGGGGCAACGGCCCACCAAGGCGACGAUCAGUAGGGGUUCUGAGAGGAAGGUCCCCCACAUUGGAACUGAGACACGGUCCAAACUCCUACGGGAGGCAGCAGUGAGGAAUAUUGGUCAAUGGGCGCAAGUCUGAACCAGCCAAGUAGCGUGCAGGAUGACGGCCCUAUGGGUUGUAAACUGCUUUUAUGUGGGAAUAAAGUGGCGCACGUGUGCGCCAUUGCAUGUACCUCAUGAAUAAGGACCGGCUAAUUCCGUGCCAGCAGCCGCGGUAAUACGGAAGGUCCGGGCGUUAUCCGGAUUUAUUGGGUUUAAAGGGAGUGUAGGCGGUCUGUUAAGCGUGUUGUGAAAUUUAGGUGCUCAACAUUUAACUUGCAGCGCGAACUGUCAGACUUGAGUACACGCAGCGCAGGCGGAAUUCAUGGUGUAGCGGUGAAAUGCUUAGAUAUCAUGAGGAACUCCGAUCGCGAAGGCAGCCUGCGGGAGUGUUACUGACGCUUAAGCUCGAAGGUGCGGGUAUCGAACAGG
RNAcentral lists this ribosomal RNA (762 nucleotides) under Prevotella nigrescens. RNAcentral's name for it is "bacterial SSU rRNA". It matches the Rfam family "Bacterial small subunit ribosomal RNA", at positions 28 to 776 of the family's 1533-position model. Lineage: Bacteria; Pseudomonadati; Bacteroidota; Bacteroidia; Bacteroidales; Prevotellaceae. The record is from RNAcentral.